GAUGAACGCUGGCGGCGUGCUUAACACAUGCAAGUCGAACGAUGAAGCCCAGCUUGCUGGGUGGAUUAGUGGCGAACGGGUGAGUAACACGUGAGUAACCUGCCCUUAACACUGGGAUAAGCCUGGGAAACUGGGUCUAAUACCGGAUAGGAGCGCCUACCGCAUGGUGGGUGUUGGAAAGAUUUAGCGGUUUUGGAUGGACUCGCGGCUUAUCAGCUUGUUGGUGGGGUAAUGGCUCACCAAGGCGACGACGGGUAGCCGGCCUGAGAGGGUGACCGGCCACACUGGGACUGAGACACGGCCCAGACUCCUACGGGAGGCAGCAGUGGGGAAUAUUGCACAAUGGGCGAAAGCCUGAUGCAGCGACGCCGCGUGAGGGAUGACGGCCUUCGGGUUGUAAACCUCUUUCAGUAGGGAAGAAGCGAAAGUGACGGUACCUGCAGAAGAAGCACCGGCUAACUACGUG
Molecule: ribosomal RNA, 466 nt
Filed under: uncultured bacterium
Lineage: Bacteria
Description: partial 16S ribosomal RNA
Rfam family: Bacterial small subunit ribosomal RNA
Source: RNAcentral